GAUGAACGCUGGCGGCGUGCCUAAUACAUGCAAGUCGAGCGAACGGACGAGAAGCUUGCUUCUCUGAUGUUAGCGGCGGACGGGUGAGUAACACGUGGAUAACCUACCUAUAAGACUGGGAUAACUUCGGGAAACCGGAGCUAAUACCGGAUGAUAUUUUGAACCGCAUGGUUCAAAAGUGAAAGACGGUCUUGCUGUCACUUAUAGAUGGAUCCGCGCUGCAUUAGCUAGUUGGUAAGGUAACGGCUUACCAAGGCAACGAUGCAUAGCCGACCUGAGAGGAUGAUCGGCCACACUGGAACUGAGACACGGUCCAGACUCCUACGGGAGGCAGCAGUAGGGAAUCUUCCGCAAUGGGCGAAAGCCUGACGGAGCAACGCCGCGUGAGUGAUGAAGGUCUUCGGAUCGUAAAACUCUGUUAUUAGGGAGGAACAUAUGUGUAAGUAACUGUGCACAUCUUGACGGUACCUAAUCAGAAAGCCACGGCUAACUACGUG
This 497-nucleotide ribosomal RNA is filed under the name uncultured bacterium. RNAcentral's name for it is "partial 16S ribosomal RNA". It matches the Rfam family "Bacterial small subunit ribosomal RNA", at positions 28 to 507 of the family's 1533-position model. The record is from RNAcentral.